UGAGUAACCUGCCCUUCACUCUGGGAUAACUCCGGGAAACCGGGGCUAAUGCUGGAUAUGACUCGAACAGGCAUCUGUUUCGGGUGGAAAGAUUUAUUGGUGGAGGAUGGACUCGCGGCCUAUCAGCUUGUUAGUGAGGUAAUGGCUCACCAAGGCGACGACGGGUAGCCGGCCUGAGAGGGCGAUCGGCCACACUGGGACUGAGACACGGCCCAGACCUCCGUACGGGAGNA
RNAcentral lists this ribosomal RNA (233 nucleotides) under uncultured bacterium. Its description in RNAcentral is "partial 16S ribosomal RNA". It matches the Rfam family "Bacterial small subunit ribosomal RNA", at positions 118 to 347 of the family's 1533-position model. The record is from RNAcentral.